CCCUUAGAUGUCCUGGGCCGCACGCGCGUUACACUGAUGCAUUCAACGAGCGUAUAACCUUGGCCGAGAGGCCUGGGCAAUCUUGUUAACGUGCAUCGUGAUAGGGAUAGAUUAUUGAAAUUAUUAAUCUUGAACGAGGAAUUCCUAGUAAACGCAGAUCAUCAAUCUGCAUUGAUUACGUCCCUGCCCUUUGUACACACCGCCCGACGCACCUACCGAUUGGAUGGUCCGGUGAAGCCUCGGGAUUGUGGUUCUUGCCGCUUUAUUGUGGCGUGACCGCGAGAACUUGUCUAAACCUUAUCAUCUAGAGGAAGGUGAAGUCGUAACA
RNAcentral lists this ribosomal RNA (328 nucleotides) under uncultured eukaryote. Its description in RNAcentral is "partial 18S ribosomal RNA". It matches the Rfam family "Eukaryotic small subunit ribosomal RNA", at positions 1470 to 1796 of the family's 1831-position model. The record is from RNAcentral.